This 498-nucleotide ribosomal RNA is filed under the name uncultured bacterium. RNAcentral describes it as "partial 16S ribosomal RNA". It matches the Rfam family "Bacterial small subunit ribosomal RNA", at positions 27 to 507 of the family's 1533-position model. The record is from RNAcentral.
GGAUGAACGCUGGCGGCGUGCCUACUACAUGCAAGUCGAGCGAACAGACGAGGAGCUUGCUCCUCUGACGUUAGCGGCGGACGGGUGAGUAACACGUGGAUAACCUACCUAUAAGACUGGGAUAACUUCGGGAAACCGGAGCUAAUACCGGAUAAUAUAUUGAACCGCAUGGUUCAAUAGUGAAAGACGGUUUUGCUGUCACUUAUAGAUGGAUCCGCGCCGCAUUAGCUAGUUGGUAAGGUAACGGCUUACCAAGGCAACGAUGCGUAGCCGACCUGAGGGGGUGAUCGGCCACACUGGAACUGAGACACGGUCCAGACUCCUACGGGAGGCAGCAGUAGGGAAUCUUCCGCAAUGGGCGAAAGCCUGACGGAGCAACGCCGCGUGAGUGAUGAAGGUCUUCGGAUCGUAAAACUCUGUUAUUAGGGAAGAACAAAUGUGUAAGUAACUAUGCACGUCUUGACGGUACCUAAUCAGAAAGCCACGGCUAACUACGUG